This 395-nucleotide ribosomal RNA is filed under the name uncultured bacterium. RNAcentral describes it as "bacterial SSU rRNA". It matches the Rfam family "Bacterial small subunit ribosomal RNA", at positions 505 to 898 of the family's 1533-position model. The record is from RNAcentral.
GUGUCAGCCGCCGCGGUAAUACGUAGGUUGCGAGCGUUGUCCGGAUUUACUGGGCGUAAAGCGCGCGCAGGUGGUCCUGAAAGUCGAGCGUGAAAGCUCCCGGCCCAACUGGGAGAGGCCGUUCGAAACUUCAGGACUUGAAGGCGGGAGAGGCAAAUGGAAUUUCCGGUGUAGCGGUAAAAUGCGUAGAUACCGGAAGGAACACCAGUGGCGAAAGCGAUUUGCUGGCCCGCCCUUGACACUCAGGCGCGAAAGCUAGGGGAGCGACCGGGAUUAGAUACCCCGUUAGUCCUAGCCGUAAACAAUGGGCACUAGGUGUUGUCGGUAUCGACCCCGGCAGUGCCGAAGCUAACGCAUUAAGUGCCCCGCCUGGGGAGUACGACCGCAAGGUUAAA